UUCAGCCUUACUUAUAAACGUCUCUUAAAUUUAAGAGCCCCUCUUAGCUGUUGAUCAACGUUUUUUUCACUUAUAAACCCAAUUCAGCGUUGAGAAGUGUUUUAGCAACUGUUCAAUAAUGUCAAAAUUUAAGCAACGUCCGACCGUGUUUUAAAUCUAUUUGAGAGACAUCAUGGCGGAUAUAUUGUCAAACAUUUGACGUUUUUGAUAUAAUAUUUGUGUUUUUAUUCACUUCGCAGUACAAUUGUGAUAAAAUGGAUAGGUAUUGAUAGUUUGAGUAAGGAUUUUACGAAUGAUGUGCUUCGUGAUUUUAGAAUUCGUAGGCGUCAAAAAAAAAAGUUUAUAAACAGAGCGUGAAUCCUCUGGACCUGAAAGAAGAAGAAUUCCGGUCGUAGUUUUGGGAAACAUAUACGAUCUGAGUCACAUGCGAACGAGGAAUAAUUAUCUACUAUAACUGUCGAGCGUUGCUUCGGGGUAUGGAAGCUAAGAUUCUGCAUUCUCAAUGAAACGAUGUGAGGACUCCUCCACGUGAUCAAGAUCACGAUUAUUGCUGGUGCAGUUUUGCACAAUUUAACAAUACUAGGCAUUGAAAAUCAAUUAACAAAUCCAACUGUCCCUACUAAUGUAGAAGAAUAAGAAGAUGAAUGCGAAAAUCAUGGGAAAAUAUAAACACAGUCAUAUUGAAACUUAUUUUUAUAAUUAAAUAAAUAUUUUCAUAUUUUUGUAAA
Long non-coding RNA from Colias croceus (clouded yellow), 728 nucleotides. RefSeq lists it as uncharacterized. The transcript is spliced from 2 exons. NCBI's taxonomy places the organism in Eukaryota, Metazoa, Arthropoda, Insecta, Lepidoptera, Pieridae. The record is from RefSeq and is a predicted model, not a curated record.